UAGGUGUAGGAGGUAUCGACCCCUUCUGUGCCGGAGUUAACGCAAUAAGUACCCCGCCUGGGGAGUACGACCGCAAGGUUGAAACUCAAAGGAAUUGACGGGGGCCCGCACAAGCGGUGGAGUAUGUGGUUUAAUUCGACGCAACGCGAAGAACCUUACCAGGUCUUGACAUUGAUGGACAGAACCAGAGAUGGUUCCUCUUCUUCGGAAGCCAGAAAACAGGUGGUGCACGGUUGUCGUCAGCUCGUGUCGUGAGAUGUUGGGUUAAGUCCCGCAACGAGCGCAACCCCUAUCUUAUGUUGCCAGCACUUUGGGUGGGGACUCAUGAGAGACUGCCGCAGACAAUGCGGAGGAAGGCGGGGAUGACGUCAAAUCAUCAUGCCCCUUAUGACCUGGGCUACACACGUACUACAAUGGGAGUUAAUAGACGGAAGCGAGAUCGCGAGAUGGAGCAAACCCGAGAAACACUCUCUCAGUUCGGAUCGUAGGCUGCAACUCGCCUACGUGAAGUCGGAAUCGCUAGUAAUCGCAGGUCAGCAUACUGCGGUGAAUACGUUCCCGGGCCUUGUACACACCGCCCGUCACACCACGAAAGUCGGAAGUGCCCAAA
Molecule: ribosomal RNA, 610 nt
Filed under: uncultured bacterium
Lineage: Bacteria
Description: bacterial SSU rRNA
Rfam family: Bacterial small subunit ribosomal RNA
Source: RNAcentral